This is an RNA transcript of Antechinus flavipes (yellow-footed antechinus), 4035 nucleotides long. It is a transcript of the gene named SPT20 homolog, SAGA complex component, with no coding region annotated. The transcript has 26 exons. NCBI's taxonomy places the organism in Eukaryota, Metazoa, Chordata, Mammalia, Dasyuromorphia, Dasyuridae. The record is from RefSeq and is a predicted model, not a curated record.
GGCCGGGCAGGGCUGGAUCGGGGGGGAGCCUCCGGUUCACUCGCUGUGGAUCGUCCUGCCAAGGCCGGAGCUGGCGGCGCCGUCAUGAGGCCAAGCGCCCCAGCCGCCGCCGCUGCCGCUGGGGCAGUACUUGGAAAUUGAUCUUGGACAUGAUUGUCAUCUGCUUCAUCAGCGCACAUAAAUUAUUUUCUUCUCCUUUUGGAUAAUUUUUUUUAUACUACGAUGCAACAGACUUUAGAAUUAGCUUUGGAUCGUGCAGAGUAUGUCAUUGAAAGUGCCCGUCAGAGACCUCCUAAACGGAAAUAUUUAUCUAGUGGAAGGAAAUCUGUAUUUCAGAAACUAUAUGAUUUAUAUAUAGAAGAAUGUGAGAAAGAGCCUGAGAUAAAGCAGAAGCUGAGACGAAAUGUGAACUUGUUAGAGAAACUUGUUAUGCAGGAAACGCUCUCCUGUCUGGUAGUCAAUCUAUACCCAGGAAAUGAGGGCUAUUCUCUGAUGCUCAGGGGAAAGAAUGGUUCAGAUUCUGAAACCAUUCGCUUGCCUUAUGAAGAAGGAGAAUUGCUUGAAUAUUUGGAUGCUGAAGAAUUACCACCUAUUUUGGUUGAUCUCCUUGAAAAAUCUCAGGUUAAUAUUUUUCAUUGUGGGUGUGUCAUAGCAGAAAUACGUGACUACAGGCAAUCUGGGAAUAUGAAAUCGCCAGGUUACCAAAGUAGACAUAUUCUCUUACGUCCAACAAUGCAGACUUUAAUCUGUGAUGUUCAUUCUAUAACAAGUGAUAACCAUAAAUGGACACAAGAAGACAAACUACUUCUUGAGAGCCAGCUUAUCUUAGCCACAGCAGAACCAUUGUGUCUUGAUCCUUCUAUAGCUGUGACCUGUACUGCAAACAGAUUGCUCUAUAAUAAACAGAAGAUGAAUACUAGACCAAUGAAGCGAUGUUUCAAGAGGUACUCCAGAUCUUCCCUGAAUCGGCAGCAGGACAUAUCCCACUCUACAGCUCCUCCACAGCUAAGAUUGCUCGAUUACUUGCAAAAAAGAAAAGAGAGAAAAACAGCCCAGCAGUAUGACCUCAAAAUUUCUAAAGCUGGAAAUUGUGUGGAUAUGUGGAAACAGAAUCCCUGUUAUUUGACUACACCUUCAGAAGUGGAUGUGGAAAAGUAUGCUAAAGUGGAAAAGUCUAUCAAAUCUGAUGACUCACAGCCAACUGUCUGGCCAGCACAUGAGAUAAAAGAAGAUUAUGUGUUUGAAUGUGAAGUUGGUAAUCAGUUUCAGAAAACAAAGCUAACCAUUUUUCAGUCACUUGGUAAUCCACUUUACUAUGGUAAAAUACAGACUUAUAGAAGUGACGAAGAAACUGAGAGCCCAAUGACACCAACUCAGUUCCUUAUUGGAUCAAAGACUGAUGCUGAAAGAAUAAUUAAUCAAUAUCAAGAGUUGAUUCAGAAUGAAGCUAAAUGUCCAGUGAAGAUGUCUCAUUCAAGUGGAUCUGGCAAUCUUAGUCAACUUUCUCCAGGGAAAGAAAUGGAAUUAUCGACCAGCCAAGAUGGCGGAGUAGAAGGAAGUAGUACAGCUGAUCUGUCCCCUACAACUACUCCACAAAGAUCUAGAAAACGCAUCAGACCAAGUCCUGAUCGGGAAAUUCAAGAAAAAAUCACACCCGAGAGCCUAUUGGUUCAGCCAUCAGUAUUGGGAAAGGGAGUAAAACAUCGGCCUCCACCCAUUAAACUUCCUUCAAGUUCGGGAAGUAGCUCUUCAGGUAAUAUUUUUAGUCCACAGCAGUCAGGCAGCCAUCAUAAGUCCCCAACUCCUCCUCCCACUUCUAAGCCACCUGGUCUUUCUCGGAAACCUUCCAUGGAUCUUAAUCAAGUUAGCAUGCUUUCUCCAGCUGCUCUGUCACCUGCCAGCUCAUCACAAAGAUCUGGAACUCCUAAGCCAUCUACUCCUACACCAACCCCUUCAUCGACCCCACACCCUCCUGAUGCUCAGAGCUCAACUCCUAUUACCCCUUGUGCCACCCCUACUCCCCAAGAUUCAGGCUUCACCCCUCAGCCCACUUUGUUAACCCCGUUUGCUCAGCAGCAAAUGUCUCUGAGCCAGGCAAUGCCUGUAAUGACCAUUCCUCUUUCCACCAUGGUAACAUCUAUAACUACAGGAACCACGUCCACCCAAGUCAUGGCAAACCCUGCUGGACUUAACUUCAUCAAUGUAGUGGGCUCUGUAUGUGGAGCACAAGCCUUGAUGAGCAGUUCAAAUUCCAUGCUCGGGUGUAAUACUGGUGCCAUAACCCCUGCAGGUUUAAAUUUGAGUGGCAUUUUACCCUCAGGAGGUCUGGUACCAGGUGCAUUGCCAGCUGCAAUGCAGUCAGCCUCUCAGUCAGGUGUCCCUUUUGGUUUAAAAAAUACUUCAGGUCUCAGGCCCUUAAACCUACUCCAGAUUCCAGGUGGUUCACUCAUUUUCAAUCCACUCCAGCAACAGCAGCAGCAGCAGCAGCAGCAGCAGCAACAGCAGCUCUCUCCCUUUUCUCCACAGCAACAGUCUCAGCCCUCUACAACUUCUAGUCCUCAGCGGCCAGGAGAACAGAGUUCUGAACCAGGUACAGUCAGUCAAGACCAGGCUUUGUCUGCCCAGCAAGCUGCUGUUAUUAACCUGACUGGAGUUGGGAGCUUUAUGCAGUCCCAGGCAGCUGUAGCUGAAGAUGUCUUAUCAGCAACACAUGCUUGAUUAUUCAAUUACCAGUCAGUUUACUUACCAGUUGGAAUCCUAUUACUAAGUACUUUGUGAAUAAAGUUAAAAGCACAAAUAAUUCAAGAAGCCUCUAUGGCUUACUACAACCUCCAGAAUAAAGUAGAAACGCAGCUUUUCAUUUGAAUUCCUUCAAAGCCUACUUGCUGAAUCAAAUUUACAAAGGUAACAAAAUUCUAACACAGGAAACUGGGUAAAUGCAAGUGCCACUGACAAAAAUAGGAAGUGCAAGUAUAAUAGAGUAUGCUCUGUGUUAAACACAGACUUAAGAGCCGAUAAGACAUGUCAGGGGAAAUGUCUUCAGUUGGAUAUAGGGAUGCAGGGAUGCAAAUUUGGGAAUCAUAUGCAUAUGAAUGACAUGUAACUGAAAUCUGAGGAAUGAAUUUGUGAUUUCCAGAGGAAAUCUGAGUGGAAUGAGCCAGAGAUAGAACACUGGAGAACAUUCCAUUAAGAUGUCAAGUAAAGGACAAAGAGCUAGUGGAAAAAACAGGAGCAAUAAAAGAUACCGUCAAGUGUGUUUUCUUUGAAGUUAAAGGAGAAAACAUCCAGUAGUAAGCUGAUAGGUAUCAAUAACAAAUUACAAACAAUUUGGAGUUAUGAAUCUUGAGAUUGAAGUGAUUCUAUUUUUUAAUAUAAAAGGAAUUUGAAAUAGCUUUACCUAACUACUUUAAAAAAUGCUACAGGAAUCAUUAUCCAGUACUUCAUAUUUCAAUACAGAAUCAUUUUAGUACUUCAAGAAUGUAUAAUUUCAGUGUUUUAAGUAUGCCCUCCACCAAUGCAAUAGUUUGUUUCUUUUUGUCUUCUUAACAUUAGUUGUCCCAGGCAGCUAGGUGGUGCAGUAGAUAGAGCACCAACCCUAAGUCAGGAGGAUCUGAGUUCAAAUCUGGCCUCAGACACUAAUACUUCCUAGCUGCAUGGCCCUGGGCAAGUUACUUAAUCCCAAUUGCCUUAACCCCCUCCCCAACUUCCCCCCCAAAAAAGGGAUAACUAAUCUCUUCCACAUGGCAAUUUUCCCCAUUGCAGUUUCAGUAUAUCAAGGGUCAGCCUAAAAAAAAAAAAAAAAAAAAAACUGGGAAUUUUGAGAGGGGUUUCCAAAAGCUACAGACAAUAGAUGAAAGCCAGGAGACAACACAAACUAGAGUCUAGGAUGAAAUACUUAAGCCCAAAUUUUGCCUUAAGUCAUAGUAAACAUCCCAUAAAAGGAAAAAAAAAAUCUGGUAUGAACAAAGAACCAAAAAGAUUUACAUGGAUUUUCUAGAUUAUAGGGAGAUAAUCAAUGUGGAAGGGAUAACCAUG